UUGGAUUUCUGGCGGGGACCCAAGUACCCCUGCAGGGUGUGCUCGGGCCCGGCCAUCCUUCUGUCAACCCUCACGGUCGUUUACUCGUCCGAGUUGGUGAUCAGAUAAUUUACCUUGAGAAAAUUAGAGUGUUUCAGGCAGGCUUAGCCGGAAUACAUUAGCAUGGAAUAAUGGAAUAGGACUGAUGUCUCGUUGUUGGUUACGCGGACAACAGUAAUGAUUAAUAGGGACAGUUGGGGGCAUUAGUAUUUAUUAGCUAGAGGUGGAAUUCUCUAAUUUGAUAAAGACUAACUUAUGCGAAAGCA
This 305-nucleotide ribosomal RNA is filed under the name uncultured marine eukaryote. RNAcentral describes it as "SSU rRNA". The stretch from base 59 to 305 matches the Rfam family "Eukaryotic small subunit ribosomal RNA", at positions 701 to 953 of the family's 1831-position model. The record is from RNAcentral.